RNAcentral lists this ribosomal RNA (1313 nucleotides) under Prevotella nigrescens. RNAcentral's name for it is "bacterial SSU rRNA". It matches the Rfam family "Bacterial small subunit ribosomal RNA", at positions 92 to 1413 of the family's 1533-position model. The record is from RNAcentral. Lineage: Bacteria; Pseudomonadati; Bacteroidota; Bacteroidia; Bacteroidales; Prevotellaceae.
CCCGGGGCGCACGGGUGAGUAUCGCGUAUCCAACCUGCCCCUUACUUGGGGAUACCCCGUUGAAAGACGGCCUAAUACCCGAUGUGUUUCAUUGACGGCAUCCGAUAUGAAACAAAGGUUUUCCGGUAAGGGAUGGGGAUGCGUCUGAUUAGCUAGUUGGCGGGGCAACGGCCCACCAAGGCGACGAUCAGUAGGGGUUCUGAGAGGAAGGUCCCCCACAUUGGAACUGAGACACGGUCCAAACUCCUACGGGAGGCAGCAGUGAGGAAUAUUGGUCAAUGGACGCAAGUCUGAACCAGCCAAGUAGCGUGCAGGAUGACGGCCCUAUGGGUUGUAAACUGCUUUUAUGUGGGAAUAAAGUGGCGCACGUGUGCGCCAUUGCAUGUACCUCAUGAAUAAGGACCGGCUAAUUCCGUGCCAGCAGCGCGUAUACGGAAGGUCCGGGCGUUAUNGGAUUUAUUGGGUUUAAAGGGAGUGUAGCGUCUGUUAAGCGUGUUGUGAAAUUUAGGUGCUCAACAUUUAACUUGCAGCGCGAACUGUCAGACUUGAGUGCACGCAGCGCAGGCGGAAUUCAUGGUGUAGCGGUGAAAUGCUUAGAUAUCAUGAGGAACUCCGAUCGCGAAGGCAGCNUGCGGGAGUGUUACUGACGCUUAAGCUCGAAGGUGCGGGUAUCGAACAGGAUUAGAUACCCUGGUAGUCCGCACAGUAAACGAUGGAUGCCCGCCGUUGGCGCCCUGCGCCUGCGGCCAAGCGAAAGCAUUAAGCAUCCCACCUGGGGAGUACGCCGGCAACGGUGAAACUCAAAGGAAUUGACGGGGGCCCGCACAAGCGGAGGAACAUGUGGUUUAAUUCGAUGAUACGCGAGGAACCUUACCCGGGCUUGAAUUGCAGUCGCUGCCCACAGAGACGUGGGCUUCCCUUCGGGGCGUCUGUGAAGGUGCUGCAUGGUUGUCGUCAGCUCGUGCCGUGAGGUGUCGGCUUAAGUGCCAUAACGAGCGCAACCCCCUUUCCCAGUUGCCAUCGGGUGAUGCCGGGCACUCUGGGGACACUGCCACCGCAAGGUGCGAGGAAGGUGGGGAUGACGUCAAAUCAGCACGGCCCUUACGUCCGGGGCUACACACGUGUUACAAUGGCCGGUACAGAGGGACGGUGCAAUGCAAGUUGCAUCCAAUCUUGAAAUCCGGUCCCAGUUCGGACUGGGGUCUGCAACCCGACCCCACGAAGCUGGAUUCGCUAGUAAUCGCGCAUCAGCCAUGGCGCGGUGAAUACGUUCCCGGGCCUUGUACACACCGCCCGUCAAGCCAUGAAAGCCC